This 904-nucleotide ribosomal RNA is filed under the name uncultured organism. Its description in RNAcentral is "bacterial SSU rRNA". It matches the Rfam family "Bacterial small subunit ribosomal RNA", at positions 468 to 1386 of the family's 1533-position model. The record is from RNAcentral.
UAUGACGGUACCCUUUCGAAUAAGAGGUUGCUAACUCUGUGCCAGCAGCAGCGGUAAUACAGAGACCUCGAGCGUUAUCCGGAUUUACUGGGCGUAAAGCGUCUGUAGGGGGUUUGUUAAGUUCCAAGUAAAAUCUUAAGGCUCAACUUUAAGUUCGCUUGGAAAACUAAUAAACUGGAGUCCAGCAGAGGUGCAUGGAACUUGCGGUGUAGGAGUGAAAUCCGUUGAUAUCGCAAGGAACACCAAAGGCGAAGGCAUUGCACUGGGCUGGUACUGACCCUGAGAGACGAAAGUGUGGGGAGCAAAACGGAUUAGAUACCCGUGUAGUCCACGCCCGUAAACGAUGGAUACUAGAUGUUCGGGGAUUCGACCCCCUGGGUGUCACAGCUAACGCGUUAAGUAUCCCGCCUGGGAAGUACGGCCGCAAGGCUAAAACUCAAAGGAAUAGACGGGGAUCCGCACAAGCGGUGGAGCGUCUGGUUUAAUUUGAUAGUAAGCAAUGGACCUCACCAAGGUUUGACAUCCUAUGACAACCCUGGAAACAGGGCUUCCUUCGGGCAUAGUGACAGGUGCUGCAUGGUCGUCGUCAGUUCGUGCCGUGAGGUGUUCCGUUAAGUCGGGAAACGAACGAAACCCUCGUCGCAUGUUACAAAUUUCAUGCGAGACUGCCCGGGUCAACCGGGAGGAAGGCGGGGAUGACGUCAGAUCAGCAUGGCCCUUAUACCUUGGGCUACACAGGCGCUACAAUGGCCGGUACAAAGGGUUGCAAAACCGCGAGGUGAAGCUAAUCCCAUAAAGCCGGUCCAAGUUCGGAUUGGAGGCUGCAACUCGCCUCCAUGAAGUUGGAAUCGCUAGUAAUCGUGGAUCAGCCAUACCACGGUGAAUACGUUCCCGGAUCUUGUAC